RNAcentral lists this ribosomal RNA (1816 nucleotides) under metagenome. Its description in RNAcentral is "bacterial LSU rRNA". It matches the Rfam family "Bacterial large subunit ribosomal RNA", at positions 1128 to 2925 of the family's 2925-position model. The record is from RNAcentral.
GAAAGCGUAAUAGCUCACUAGUCGAGUCGGCCUGCGCGGAAGAUGUAACGGGGCUCAAACCAGGCACCGAAGCCGCGGAUUCACACUUAUGUGUGAGUGGUAGGGGAGCGUUCUGUAAGUCUGCGAAGGUGUAUCGAGAGGUAUGCUGGAGAUAUCAGAAGUGCGAAUGCUGACGUAAGUAACGAUAAAGGGGGUGAAAAGCCUCCUCGCCGGAAGACCAAGGGUUCCUGUCCAACGUUAAUCGGGGCAGGGUGAGUCGACCCCUAAGGCGAGGCCGAAAGGCGUAGUCGAUGGGAAGCAGGUUAAUAUUCCUGCACGACUUGUAAUUGCGAUGGGGGGACGGAGAAGGCUAGGUGGGCCAGGCGACGGUUGUCCUGGUGAAAGUGCGUAGGUGGUGUUUCUAGGCAAAUCCGGAGACACAACACUGAGACACGAGACGAACACACUACGGUGUGGAAGCCAUUGAUGCCCUGCUUCCAGGAAAAGCCUCUAAGCUUCAGAUUACAAGUCAUCGUACCCCAAACCGACACAGGUGGUCGGGUAGAGAAUACCAAGGCGCUUGAGAGAACUCGGGUGAAGGAACUAGGCAAAAUAGAACCGUAACUUCGGGAGAAGGUUCGCUCUUGACAGUGAAGUCCCUUGCGGAUGGAGCAGUUGGGAGUCGCAGUGACCAGAUGGCUGGGACUGUUUAUCAAAAACACAGCACUCUGCAAACACGAAAGUGGACGUAUAGGGUGUGACACCUGCCCGGUGCCGGAAGGUUAAUUGAUGGGGUUAGCGCAAGCGAAGCUCUUGAUCGAAGCCCCGGUAAACGGCGGCCGUAACUAUAACGGUCCUAAGGUAGCGAAAUUCCUUGUCGGGUAAGUUCCGACCUGCACGAAUGGUGUAACCAUGGCCAUGCUGUCUCCACCCGAGACUCAGUGAAAUCGAAUUCGCCGUGAAGAUGCGGUGUACCCGCGGCUAGACGGAAAGACCCCGUGAACCUUUACUACAGCUUGGCACUGAACAUUGAACCUACAUGUGUAGGAUAGGUGGGAGGCUUUGAAGGCGUGACGCCAGUUGCGCUGGAGCCGUCCUUGAAAUACCACCCUUGUAUGUUUGAUGUUCUAACGCAGGGCCCUGAAUCGGGCUCGCGGACAGUGCCUGGUGGGUAGUUUGACUGGGGCGGUCUCCUCCCAAAGAGUAACGGAGGAGCACGAAGGUUGGCUAAUCCUGGUCGGACAUCAGGAGGUUAGUGCAAUGGCAUAAGCCAGCUUAACUGCGAGACGGACAGGUCGAGCAGGUACGAAAGUAGGUCAUAGUGAUCCGGUGGUUCUGAAUGGAAGGGCCAUCGCUCAACGGAUAAAAGGUACUCCGGGGAUAACAGGCUGAUACCGCCCAAGAGUUCAUAUCGACGGCGGUGUUUGGCACCUCGAUGUCGGCUCAUCACAUCCUGGGGCUGAAGUCGGUCCCAAGGGUAUGGCUGUUCGCCAUUUAAAGUGGUACGCGAGCUGGGUUCAGAACGUCGUGAGACAGUUCGGUCCCUAUCUGCCGUGGGCGUUGGAUGAUUGAAGGGAGUUGCUCCUAGUACGAGAGGACCGGAGUGAACGAACCUCUGGUGUUCGGGUUGUCACGCCAGUGGCACUGCCCGGUAGCUAAGUUCGGAAUCGAUAACCGCUGAAAGCAUCUAAGCGGGAAGCGAGCCCUGAGAUGAGUCAUCCCUGACCCCUUGAGGGUCCUAAAGGGCCGUUGGAGACCACAACGUUGAUAGGUGGGGUGUGUAAGCGCGGCGACGUGUUGAGCUAACCCAUACUAAUUACCCGUGAGGCUUAACCAU